RNAcentral lists this ribosomal RNA (3015 nucleotides) under Massilia sp. YIM B02769. RNAcentral's name for it is "partial 23S ribosomal RNA". It matches the Rfam family "Bacterial large subunit ribosomal RNA", at positions 395 to 2925 of the family's 2925-position model. The record is from RNAcentral. Lineage: Bacteria; Pseudomonadati; Pseudomonadota; Betaproteobacteria; Burkholderiales; Oxalobacteraceae.
UACUAAGCGUACGACAAGUAGGGCGGGACACGAGAAAUCCUGUCUGAACAUGGGGGGACCAUCCUCCAAGGCUAAAUACUCGUAAUCGACCGAUAGUGAACCAGUACCGUGAGGGAAAGGCGAAAAGAACCCCGGGAGGGGAGUGAAAUAGAUCCUGAAACCGUGUGCAUACAAACAGUCGGAGCGGACUUGAUCCGUGACGGCGUACCUUUUGUAUAAUGGGUCAGCGACUUACAUUCAGUGGCGAGGUUAACCGGAUAGGGGAGCCGUAGAGAAAUCGAGUCCGAACAGGGCGACAGUCGCUGGGUGUAGACCCGAAACCAAGUGAUCUACCCAUGGCCAGGAUGAAGGUGCGGUAACACGCCCUGGAGGUCCGAACCCACUAAUGUUGAAAAAUUAGGGGAUGAGCUGUGGGUAGGGGUGAAAGGCUAAACAAACUUGGAAAUAGCUGGUUCUCUCCGAAAACUAUUUAGGUAGUGCCUCAAGUAUCACCAUCGGGGGUAGAGCACUGUUAUGGCUAGGGGGUCAUUGCGACUUACCAAACCAUUGCAAACUCCGAAUACCGAUGAGUGCGAGCUUGGGAGACAGACGUCGGGUGCUAACGUCCGGCGUCAAGAGGGAAACAACCCAGACCGCCAGCUAAGGUCCCAAAGAUUGGCUAAGUGGAAAACGAAGUGGGAAGGCUAAAACAGUCAGGAUGUUGGCUUAGAAGCAGCCACCAUUUAAAGAAAGCNCGCCAGCUAAGGUCCCAAAGAUUGGCUAAGUGGAAAACGAAGUGGGAAGGCUAAAACAGUCAGGAUGUUGGCUUAGAAGCAGCCACCAUUUAAAGAAAGCGUAAUAGCUCACUGAUCGAGUCGUCCUGCGCGGAAGAUGUAACGGGGCUAAGCCAGUCACCGAAGCUGCGGAUAUUCUUCUCUUUGCUUGCAUCGAGAUCANNNCGUAAUAGCUCACUGAUCGAGUCGUCCUGCGCGGAAGAUGUAACGGGGCUAAGCCAGUCACCGAAGCUGCGGAUAUCCUUUAUUGGAUAUGGUAGGAGAGCGUUCUGUAAGCCUGCGAAGGUGUCUUGUAAAGGAUGCUGGAGGUAUCAGAAGUGCGAAUGCUGACAUGAGUAGCGAUAAUGCGGGUGAAAAGCCCGCACGCCGUAAGCCCAAGGUUUCCUGUUCAACGUUCAUCGGAGCAGGGUGAGUCGGCCCCUAAGGCGAGGCAGAGAUGCGUAGCUGAUGGGAAGCAGGUUAAUAUUCCUGCACCGUCGUAUGAUGCGAUGGGGGGACGGAUCGCGGAAGGUUGUCCAGCUGUUGGAAUAGCUGGUUUCUGGUUCAUAGAAGGCACUUAGGCAAAUCCGGGUGCGUAAUUCAAGGGACUGGGACGUGUGUCCAUGUGANGCUGACAUGAGUAGCGAUAAUGCGGGUGAAAAGCCCGCACGCCGUAAGCCCAAGGUUUCCUGUUCAACGUUCAUCGGAGCAGGGUGAGUCGGCCCCUAAGGCGAGGCAGAGAUGCGUAGCUGAUGGGAAGCAGGUUAAUAUUCCUGCACCGUCGUAUGAUGCGAUGGGGGGACGGAUCGCGGAAGGUUGUCCAGCUGUUGGAAUAGCUGGUUUCUGGUUCAUAGAAGGUACUUAGGCAAAUCCGGGUACAUAAUUCAAGGGACUGGGACGUGUGGCCAUGCGACACGAAGCAAUCGGAAGUGGUUCCAAGAAAAGCCUCUAAGCUUCAGUCAUACGAGACCGUACCGCAAACCGACACAGGUGGGCGAGAUGAGUAUUCUAAGGCGCUUGAGAGAACUCGGGAGAAGGAACUCGGCAAAUUGGUACCGUAACUUCGGGAAAAGGUACGCCUCGGUAGCUUGACCACUUUACUGUGGAAGGGCGAAAAGGUUGCAAUAAACUGGUGGCUGCGACUGUUUAAUAAAAACACAGCACUCUGCAAACACGAAAGUGGACGUAUAGGGUGUGACGCCUGCCCGGUGCUGGAAGAUUAAAUGAUGGGGUGCAAGCUCUUGAUUGAAGUCCCAGUAAACGGCGGCCGUAACUAUAACGGUCCUAAGGUAGCGAAAUUCCUUGUCGGGUAAGUUCCGACCUGCACGAAUGGCGUAACGAUGGCCACACUGUCUCCUCCCGAGACUCAGCGAAGUUGAAAUGUUUGUGAUGAUGCAAUCUACCCGCGGCUAGACGGAAAGACCCCAUGAACCUUUACUGUAGCUUUGCAUUGGACUUUGAACCAAUCUGUGUAGGAUAGGUGGGAGGCUUUGAAGCGGGGACGCCAGUUCUCGUGGAGCCAUCCUUGAAAUACCACCCUGGUUUGUUUGAGGUUCUAACCUUGGUCCGUUAUCCGGAUCGGGGACAGUGCAUGGUAGGCAGUUUGACUGGGGCGGUCUCCUCCUAAAGUGUAACGGAGGAGUUCGAAGGUACGCUAGGUACGGUCGGACAUCGUGCUAAUAGUGCAAUGGCAUAAGCGUGCUUAACUGCGAGACCGACAAGUCGAGCAGGUACGAAAGUAGGACAUAGUGAUCCGGUGGUUCUGUAUGGAAGGGCCAUCGCUCAACGGAUAAAAGGUACUCUGGGGAUAACAGGCUGAUUCCUCCCAAGAGUUCAUAUCGACGGGGGAGUUUGGCACCUCGAUGUCGGCUCAUCACAUCCUGGGGCUGUAGCCGGUCCCAAGGGUAUGGCUGUUCGCCAUUUAAAGUGGUACGUGAGCUGGGUUUAAAACGUCGUGAGACAGUUUGGUCCCUAUCUGCCGUGGGCGUUGGAAAUUUGAAGGGGGCUGCUCCUAGUACGAGAGGACCGGAGUGGACGAACCUCUGGUGUACCGGUUGUCACGCCAGUGGCAUUGCCGGGUAGCUAAGUUCGGAAGAGAUAACCGCUGAAAGCAUCUAAGCGGGAAACUUGCCUUGAGAUGAGAUUUCCCGGAGCCUUGAGCUCCUUGAAGGGUCGUUCGAGACCAGGACGUUGAUAGGCUGGGUGUGGAAGUGCAGUAAUGCAUUAAGCUAACCAGUACUAAUUGCCCGUACGGCUUGUCCCU